RNAcentral lists this transfer RNA (59 nucleotides) under Mycoplasmopsis felis. RNAcentral's name for it is "tRNA-Cys". Lineage: Bacteria; Bacillati; Mycoplasmatota; Mycoplasmoidales; Metamycoplasmataceae. The record is from RNAcentral.
AGCUCAACUGGACAGAGUGUUAGGUUACAGCUCUAAAGGUUGCGGGUUCGACUCCUGUA